This 253-nucleotide ribosomal RNA is filed under the name uncultured bacterium. Its description in RNAcentral is "partial 16S ribosomal RNA". It matches the Rfam family "Bacterial small subunit ribosomal RNA", at positions 524 to 776 of the family's 1533-position model. The record is from RNAcentral.
UACGGGGGGGGCAAGCGUUGUUCGGAAUUACUGGGCGUAAAGGGCUCGUAGGCGGCCAACUAAGUCAGACGUGAAAUCCCUCGGCUUAACCGGGGAACUGCGUCUGAUACUGGAUGGCUUGAGGUUGGGUGAGGGAUGCGGAAUUCCAGGUGUAGCGGUGAAAUGCGUAGAUAUCUGGAGGAACACCGGUGGCGAAGGCGGCAUCCUGGACCAAUUCUGACGCUGAGGAGCGAAAGCCAGGGGAGCAAACGGG